GUCCAAACCAAAAAACAAACCUAACGCCCACAGAGCCACAGAACUACGGCUGGUUCUAAUAAGUUUAGAAACACGCGGGGCUUCCUGCAGGGUGCGGCUGAACCUGGAGACCGGAUCUCAGACUGAUUCCUGCCCCUCCUUGUCCUGCCGCUCAUCAGCGGGGUCCGGGUGGUAUCAGCUCCGAUGUAAGUCUUUGCUCCAUGGGAGCUGUGAAAUCCACUCCAGGUUUUCACUUCUGCUGUUUUGUGUGCCUUCACAGCCCCUAGCCAGGCUAGCUCUGCCUGGCCCUUUAAUUCUGUGGGUCCCUGAGCUUUAAUAAAAUACAUGCAUAUGUGCAGAGGUUUUCUCUGGGCUACUUUUUCCCAUGGCAUUCAGUGGUCUCAUUACCCAGGAUUUUUAUUUUGUAGGAAAUCCACGGAUUGUUCAAAUGAUUUGCAUAGUUGAGAAUUUUAGUGCCUUUCUGCCCCCUCUACCCCUUGGGGGCCUUAUUGGUCUUUCUCUUUCUAAGCCCCUGGCCAUUCACCUGUCCCCAAGGCUGUAUAUUUUCUCAUUGGAGCACUUCCACCAAAGUAGAUGAUCAGAUGCCUUGCACAGGGCUUUGGCCAUGGGCAUUUCUCCUCCGAUUCCCCCUCACUCCUCUCUUCCAAAGCCACCACCGAGUACAGCUGUUCCUGCAGCCGCCACAUGUUUCCUGUCUGGGUCCACAGAGCCGUCUGAACCAUCUGGACCAGGAGUGAAGCUGAGAAGGAGACAGCCUAUAUGAGGAUGUGUUACUGAGUUGGCCACCACUGUGUGACUGGUGGUGACCUGGUCCCAAGGAACUGUCCUUGGAUAAGUGGGACAGUUUGUCCCAGGACAGGACAGAUGUAUCCAUUGACUCCUGUGUCCCAUUGGCCAGUAUUACCCCCCAGGGCAGGCUCCCCUGCCCUCGCAGGUGGCACAUGUGUGGGUGCGGGUGGUCCCCGGCAGUAUCCACAGGAAAGCUCCCGCAGGAGUCAAGAGGCGCCCAUGGAGGCCUGGAGCGCAGCUGUGUGGUCACCGCGGCAUGGAGUUGGUCAGGCCCUCGCAGGACCGGCACCGCGUGGUGGCUGGAGGAAGAGAUACCUGAGGCCAAGAGGAUGUACCGCCUGCAUACAGGGGGGCGGGUGUCUGUUACAGCAAUAUAACGUCACUCCCCGGUGGUCUCCAUGAGGAAGCCACUCAGUGUCCUGCCGCAUCCACCCCGGUCGCCUUGCUCUGUCCAGGCCCCCGGGGUACCUGGUCCAGCAGCUCCCUUCCUCCCAGGGGCUUCUGAACGUGUUUUUAUUUUUAAGCAGAGAAAUCCCCUUUUUUCAAUCUAGAUCAUAUGAUAUGAAACGCCAUUAUAUAAAACAGGAAGUAUGAUGUUAACAUAAACGAUCAAUUUACAUUU
This is a long non-coding RNA of Suricata suricatta (meerkat), 1411 nucleotides long. RefSeq lists it as uncharacterized. NCBI's taxonomy places the organism in Eukaryota, Metazoa, Chordata, Mammalia, Carnivora, Herpestidae. The transcript has 2 exons. The record is from RefSeq and is a predicted model, not a curated record.